Vicugna pacos (alpaca) is the source of this 3076-nucleotide non-coding RNA. The record is from RefSeq and is a predicted model, not a curated record. NCBI's taxonomy places the organism in Eukaryota, Metazoa, Chordata, Mammalia, Artiodactyla, Camelidae.
UUUCAGACCCGCCCUCCUGUUCGCAGGGACCCAUUUCGGAGCCCUAGCUCACUCUGGGCGGGAACCAGCGUGACGAAUUCCGCCCAAAGUGUUGAUUACGCAUCCCAGUCCAGCCUCUGGCUCGCCUCCCACCUUCACCUCGGCUCCCACAGCCCCCCACCACGCCCCUACUCCGGGCCGAGCGCUCGGGACGGCACCCCCGAACCCCCACCCGACCGUGCCCCGCGCUGCAGCUGCGGAAAGGCGCCAGCGUGCUCGGUGCCACGUCGGAAUUGGCUCCCAGGGCAUUGCAGCUGCCUGUGCGCAGCGCGCGGUCCCCACGCAAGCCCUGCCCCGGGGCGGCCCAGGAGUAGAGAGAAGGGAUGCGCGCCCUCCUCCCACUCGGGCCUUCGGGUGCCGCUGCCUGGGUCAGGGACCUCUGGCCGUAGCAAGGCUUCCAGAGCCGGGCUGAGGCGGGACAGACCCAGCCUGACACUUUAAUGGGGUGCUGGGAGUGCAAAGGAGGGGAGGCGAGGGAAAAAAGGGGAGUGGCCGAAUGAGGCCGGUAGCUGCUAGGAGGUGGCGAAGGACCCUCCUCCUCCCGGGCCGGAGCUGGGACCCCCGGAUCGCUUUAACCCUUUGCAUUCCAAAACACUGUGGAAAGAGCUAUUGUUAUCUCCAUCUUCCAGAAGAGGAAAUACGGCUGAGAAAGAUUAAGACUGAACAUCUCAACCGACUGGGAGUUCUGGAUUUCAAGUUCAGAACCUGUGAUAUCUGACGAUCGAACCAAAUAAAGGAGCGUGUCCCUGUUUGCAAGGCUAGUUUUUCUCGUCCCUCCCUUGAGGUGCUGUGUUUGAAGUGUUUCUCAGGCUGAAGAGAUGAAGGGAAAGCUCCCAGUUAUCUUCAAGUUACCUAACCUCAGGGGCUUAUCAGCUGGCCCUGUUUGAUAGCUCUACGGUCCUAAACAGUAAGCUGGACGCUUUAUAGCUGCCUCGCAAAUCAUCACUUGUGAAAACUGGAAACGGGAUAGAGAAAAUUAUCUUUUUCCUAAGAGAUAAGCAAAAGUUCUAAGAAGCUCAUCAGUUGAAGAGCACUUCAGAGCACAUCUUAAGGAUCCUCGGAAAUCCGCAUUCCAGCGUGGCUCUUCAGAUCUACGAGGCCAGAUCUGAAGGGAACACGUGCAGCCUGCUUUCUCUCCUCCACACUCAACCGAUAAUGCAGAAAUGCUCGAGUCAAAGAAACUGGCGACAUGCCUGUCUCAGGCUGUGUCAGAACUGGGAAGUGGGAAGAAGCAAUUCAGAGGGUCAAGAUAUAAUCUAGGUUCAAGCUGGACCAGGCCUUCCGGCAGAUCCAGGCUCAGCCAGAGUCUAGACGUGGCAGCCAAGUUUCCAUCAGCCUUGCUGUAAUUAACGUGUGCACAGUCAUUUCUCAGUAAGAGAAUGUGAAACCAAACCAGAAGGUAACUAGCUGUUAGACUUCGGGUUUCAUUUCUGGGUAAAUCAGUAGUCGUCUCACAGAGGCAUUCUUUCUGUGUAUAAUCUCCAAACAGUUAGAACAAAUGGAAUGAAAUAAGAGAAGGUGUGUUAGCAACUGCUCUUAAAUUUCCCCUGGUCAUCAGGAUCUGUCUCCGUUUGGGUUUUAAACUCUGUAAAGUAGCAGUUGCCAUGUUCAACUUUAGAUAACCCCAUAAAUCCGGAAAUAGCUAAUGUGAUUCAUCUGGGAAUCAGUUAUGGCCAUGAUCUGGGUCCAAAUGUUGGGUUUAUAGUCAUACCUAUUCCAAGGGCUGUGCUCUGUGAAAGGAGACAAGUUGUAAUCUCCGCAAACCUGAGUCACUGCUCCUUAGCUACAUGAAGCCUGUGAUCUGUCCUGAUUUUGGAGCUGGUCCGUCUUUUAGGUUCCUGGCCAAAUCUGGACCACCAGAGCGGGUGUGAGGGUGGGAGUGAAGGAAGGGAUGAAGGUCUGCUCAUUGAGAUGAGUAAAAAGUGGAUCAUCCAUUAGUGAGAAGAACUUUAAAGGUUACAAAAUUACAAACAUCCCAACAAAUGACUUAUGUAAGGCUCCUUUGUGAUAUAAAGCCGGGGGUAAUUUUUUGUGUGUGAAGAUGAAAGAUAGGGGAAGUUCUAGCAAAGUUGACACAUCUUCCCACCCCCACACAUCCUCUUCUUCAGAAAUUUCAUCACCUUCAUCUCAAUUCACCAGAGGUAUAUUGAAGGUCUGCUAGUGAAAACUUCCCUAUAAGGGGUUACAGGCACAGGGAGAAAAGAGUGCCAGCUGUCUCAGGGCUCAUGGUCCAGCGGAGAGACAACAUGCCCAUAUGCAAUUCCAAAUCAGAGCAACUGGAAUGGGUAUAAAAAUCAUGCCGUCUUGUAAUCUUUCUCUGGCCUCCCAAAGGUGGGCUUAUGACCCCUCAUCUGAACGCCUGUAACACACUGUAUUUGUGGCAAAGAAUGCCCAUCAUUAACCAAUAUCCAGCUUUCCCUUCUUCUUAGUAACAGAACUUCGCUUUUACUUGAGGUAACACCGUACACACUCAAAUAAUACAUUUCCUAUCAUCCUUUGCAGCUAGAUGUGGCCAUGCAGCCAAUUUCUGGCCGAUAAAAUGUGAGUGUAAGUCUGUGACACUUCUAGAAAGCUGCUUAAAGGAAGCUGAGUCAGCUGGGAGAAGUUCUCUUUUAUCUUUUCACAUUCUGCCAUGAGACAGCCUAGAAGGCAGAGGUGUUGGCUUUGUGCCUAAAAACUAUCUUGGACCAAUUGUUGACUCCGAGGAUGGAAGCCGUACACUGAGGAUAACAGAGCAGGAAAGCAGGAAGAAGGAUCUCUGAGAACUUUGUGGAGAUGCCAUUUCAGACCCGAGCACUUCUGUUGCCAGGGUUUAUCUUUUACAUGAGACAAACAUUUUAAAAGCUGUUUUGGUUUUUCUCUUAAAUGUAAGCAAACUUAAUUAUAACUAACACAACUGAUAUACAACCUAAGACACCAUGCUGUAAUUGCUUACUUAAUUCUCUGAUUUUCUACAUAUACAUACAGACUUUAAUUUCCUUAAUGAAAUAGAUCUUGUGCAUUUAGUCCUCCUUGUAAAGAUUUGUGGAUUUAAUUG